Molecule: long non-coding RNA, 1015 nt
Filed under: Zea mays
Lineage: Eukaryota; Viridiplantae; Streptophyta; Magnoliopsida; Poales; Poaceae
Description: long non-coding RNA (ZMAY_LNC001021)
Source: RNAcentral
CAUGCUCUCGUCGUCACCGGCCUCAACGACUCUGGCUCGAGCUGUAUCGUGUAUAUGUAGCCGGUCUUGGUAUGGGUCCUAGCCACAAAGAAGUAAAGGAUGUAGGUGUAGUGUAUGUUAGAGCAUCUCCAAGAGAGUGCCUUAUAAUUAUGCCCUUAAUUUUAAAACAUGUCUAAUCUAGAGAAAAUAGAGCCAAAACCAAACGGCAACCUCCAACAGUGUGCCCUUUAAUUAAUCUAAUUAGUCGUUUUUGGCCAUCAUCACAUUCUGUGCUUGGUAAUCCAUCAGAAUCAGAUUCGUAUCCUUCAACUAUUUAUAAAGUAUUUUGUCUCUAUUAAUUGCAGCUCCACCCAACAGUUGUCUUUAACCAAAUCGAACAACACAUUGUAAGCCAUCUAAUUAGGUUGUAUCUGAUCUGAUUUUGUUUCUUCCUCUUUUUUCCAUCCCUCGGUCAAGCAUAAUCCCUUAAAAGUGAUAGUGCAUUAAUUAGGUAGAAACUAGAACAAAAUCCGUACGUUGUGACGGCACACUAUUUGAUACCUAUAAAAGUAAACUUAAUAUUAGAGUCGGUAUAUAAUUCAUAUACUUAAUAUCUGGACUAAUAUUUGAUCUGUGUAUUUCAUAUUCUACAUGUUAAUAUUAUAGAAAUUCAGGUGUACCAUCUGCUACAUCAUUUAUGGCGUGUCUACCGUCUUAUCAGCAGCUGGGUUAAUUGCUACCACCACGGAACAUCUGGGAACUGGAUACUCUGUUCUAUGAUUAGGACGUCCAUUGAUAGCCAGCCACUACAGUACCUCACAAUUAAUUGCUCUGCUCAAACGUCAUCAUACCACUCGAGGCUGAAGAGGAUCGGAGACAGCCUGACAAAUGGGCGUGAUCUGUGACUUACGUCUGUUCCAAUUUUUAAAUUGUAGGCUGGUCUGGGUUUUCAUAGAUGCAUCAUUUUUAUUUUAUAUAUAAAUAUUAAUGUGCAUUAUAGAUAUGUGACAAAAAAAUAUACUAUAUCUAGAAAAGC